UGCUACAUCUAAGAAUAUGCAAACGUUGUUAAUUGUUGUUAAAUAUUUCUUUUAACUGUUGUUAAUUGUUGUUGUUGCUUACUUUUCUUUUAUGUUUCAGUCAAGAUUUGAAGAAUCCAGCAAACAUAGUUGGGUUGCUCUCUUUUUGACAAGUGACUCCCCUGAGAAGCUGGAGGAUGAGGCAAUAGAAAUUGAUCUAGAAAAUGAAGGAAAUGUUGAAGGUGACCCAAAAAAAGAUGGAAAUGAAUCUAAAGGUGAAGAUGAUGCACAAAGUUCGCCAAAUCAACCUCAACUCUCGCCUCUCUUACUCUUAAUCCACAAUCACAACAAGCUCCAAGUCAAUCAAAAAGUUCUAGUUCACAAGGAUCAAUGGCUUCCCAUCCAUUAUUUUCAAAUUUACAACGUGCAAGGUCUUCCCAAGUUUCGGCUUCUCAAGCCCGUUCACAAGUUCAAAGACCUCCUAAACCUUCGGCUUGUAAGUGUGAAAAAGGAAAGGGAAAGGCAAAAGUUUGAAACUUGAAUGAUGCAAAUUUAAUGCUGAUAAAAGUCCCUUCCAACGAACAUUUGUUAAUCAGCGAGGCAAGGAAGUCAUUAAACAGACCGCAUGUUGGGCAAGUCCUUGAUAAUCUCAUCUACAAUUGCAGUCUGACUUUUUGUGGGAAGGCUUUGGCUUAGUAAGCCAAAAAGUGCUCUUCAAACUGCACUUGUAUUGGUUGUGAUCACCCAGAAUUGCAGUUACUGGGACUUUCUUUAUGUUACACUUUCUGUGUGUUUGCGACUUUACUAAAACACAUCUACCAACUUUUGUUAUUAAAAAAAUUUCAUAGUUUGAUUGGUAGGUUCUACCAAAACCAGAGUUAUUAGAAUCUUUUUUAUGCUUGGGUUUGCGGUACUGGCAUCGGAAUUGAUGUGCUCUUAG
Pyrus x bretschneideri (Chinese white pear) is the source of this 919-nucleotide long non-coding RNA. RefSeq lists it as uncharacterized. Lineage: Eukaryota; Viridiplantae; Streptophyta; Magnoliopsida; Rosales; Rosaceae. The record is from RefSeq and is a predicted model, not a curated record. The transcript has 4 exons.